Long non-coding RNA from Alexandromys fortis (reed vole), 684 nucleotides. RefSeq lists it as uncharacterized. The transcript has 3 exons. Lineage: Eukaryota; Metazoa; Chordata; Mammalia; Rodentia; Cricetidae. The record is from RefSeq and is a predicted model, not a curated record.
GCAUUUUCCCAUCUAGUUCUAUAUGGCACCCAAAGAGGCAGCCUCGGAGGCAGAAGGCUGGCUGUGUAUGUGUGUAUGAGUAUCACAUGUGUGUGCCUUGAGCAGGACUGAAGGUUAAGCCUGGGCUCUGAGGAAUGGUAGGCAAGGCUCUGUCAUGGACCUACAGCCUACGCUCUGUCUUGACACUGUGUAGCCAGGGAAACAUUAAAAUAACUUUAGUCUGUAGUUAGGGAAUGGAAAGCCCAGUGAGGCCGAGGAACUUGGCUGCCAGGCUCUGGGUGAGUGGAAACCAGAGAAACUUAGCAGCCAGACAGUCCCCAAGAAGGGAAGACAGGGCAGCCACCUGCGGAGACUAAGCAGUUCCACCCUCUGUGACAGGAAUCCCAGGAGCAGAGCAGUUGGUAAGUGACGAGGGGGAGCCAGAGACUCCAUCCAGAAGCUCAAGAUCAAACCGAGAGUGGCCCCCAGCAACUGUCAUGCAUGCUGUCCCCAAGACAACCACGGCUUACGCUCCUCUCUCCCUCUCUGCACUCCUCUGGGACUGAAGAGAUGGCUCAUUGCACUUCUCGCUCUUGCAGAGGACCCAGGUUCGGUUCCCAACCCUCACCUGAGGCAGCUUACAACCAUUCUCACGCCUGCACACCUCACACAAGCACACAUGCACGCACAUGCACGCACAUGCAC